GGUUUGUUGAUGUCUAUUGUUUUUAUGUUUCUGUUUGGUCAGAGCAUUUUCAUGUGGAAACUCCCAUCUUCUGCACAAAUAUAUUGCACCUACAUGGUCUUAGCUAUGUUUCUAACCAUCUUUUGCCUGGCCAUACCGUAACUCUCACUCCUGCAUUCUUAUUCCUGAUUGAAGGCAGUGCGACAUGGUAGAGCUCUUGUGCGAGUAUCAUUCAACAGUAAUCUGCAGAAGUCGGACUACAUUAUGGUAACGGCUGAUCCUCUUCAAAUCCUGGAAAUAUGUGCCUUUAAAAGCAGAUAUUCCUUUCUUUCAUAGGAUAUUAGAGUGUUGAAAUUGUACAAGAAAACUGCAGGAAAAUGUUUACUUUUGCAUGAUUAUGUCCUGAAAAUAGCUUGCCUCUAUAAACUGCAGUAAUUCUAGAAAUUAUUCAAAACACUAGUCCAGUCAUUUUUGCUUAAAAACCCUAUUCUCUUUGUAGCAUUUUUCUUCGCUCACCAUACACAUGUGCACACAUGUAUGCACCCAUACAUGCGUUUGACUUUUUUGAUUGUUUGCAGACACCUGCAUAGUGGUGCAAGAUUAGCACCAAACACUAGAUGUCUAGAACUAGGAUAUUGUUGAGGACAAUACAGUUGAAUGUGUAAGGAGAGGCUUCUGUUUGUGCUAGAUGACACAAGCAGCAAACGAUAGAGGUUUGGAAUUCUUUAAGUGAAUGCUGAAGCCAGAUCUAAUGGCUGAUAGUUAUUUGUUGCAAUUAUAAAUUAAAACCUUAUAAGAAAUUUAUUUUUGAAUCACUCAGUUCUCUGUGUCUGAGAUUGUUUUACUUUUACAUGGAUAAUUUUAGUUUGGGCUGCAUGUGAGCUUAUUUAUGAUUUUCUCUCUGUUCCAAUGAGUUUAUAAUAAUUCUAGAUUAUGUUUAAAUAAGUCCUCAAUUUAUUAUUUUUUUUAUUCUGCUUUCAGUGCAAGCCUUUUCUGGUAUUUUUUAUGUAGUCCUCUUUGCAAUUUAAAAUCACUGUUAAAUUGUGAAUUUCUUCAGAAUGCAGUUGGUUCUCAUUUAUACCCUCAGAAUCCAGUCCUCCGCCUUGGAAGUCAGCUCAACUUCAGUGUAGAAGGUUGGUGUAUGAUAAAAUUUUACAUUAAUUUUUAGUUGGUCACAACUAAAACUCACAAAUCCAUUUCGGAAAUCUAGAUCUAAAAGACAACAUUGAAUUAAUGUUUAAAAAGCCAUACUAAUUGUAUAUGUCAGGUAGAAAUCUUAGUCUGAAAUUGAUGAAUAAUUCAAAUGCUAUUUUUUUUUGUCUGAAAUCUAUACUAAACCAUUGGAACAGCUUAGCUCAGCUAACUCUAAUCCUUAAGUUGGAUAUGCCCAGUAGUUGCAGGAAUACCAUCAAGGAUUUAUCCGUUGGGUUAAGCUUGAAAGCUCAAACAUUGAGUGUUUAUAUUUAAGAGCUUCUUCCUUCCAUGCUAUUGGAGAAUAUAGAGAAGCGGUGAAGGAUUAUGAUGCAGAAAAUUACAAAUUGUAUGAAGAAGUUGGAGAAGGUGUCAGCGCCACUGUUCACCGGGCUCUCUGCAUUCCUUUGUGUUGACUGGGAUUUGGGAAUGUAUCCUGCUCAAAAUUGUCUUUGUCGUACAUGAACCAAUUAUGAUUAAUUGAAUACGAAUCCCUAUUCUGCAGUGUAAUGAUGUGUAAUAUGCUUGACUAUUCCAUUGCAUCUGCAUGUGCAAGCAAAUGACUUAAUCUAUUUUUUCUUUUUAUUUUUUGAUUGUGUUUGUUGUUUGAUUUUGAUUCAGACACAAUCAUGUAAUGUUUAUUUAGUCAAUAUAUUGAAGUAGCUGUAAAAUUUUAUUCA
Camellia sinensis is the source of this 1850-nucleotide non-coding RNA. Lineage: Eukaryota; Viridiplantae; Streptophyta; Magnoliopsida; Ericales; Theaceae. The record is from RefSeq and is a predicted model, not a curated record.